GGGGAGCCGCGCAGGCGCGGAGCGGUGAGAACCCCGCGGACCUCCGCUCCGGGCUGGCGGGGCCCUGAGCAGCCUUCGCCUCAGUGUGCCGGAGGCCGGGGUGGGGGCUGGGCCGGGCCGUUGGAUUUUGUUGCAGGUUGAAGUCUGAGGAGUGUUAUGACUUCAAAGAUUGUUUUUGUCUAUUGCCCAUUGGGCCACAAAAAGAUAUGGCUACAGAAGCUAAGUACAACAUUGUACGGGAAGUGGGUCGAGGGAGCUAUGGGGUAGUUUACGAGGCAGUUGUCAGUCAAACCAGAAACAAAGUGGCCGUGAAAAGGAUGCAUUGUAACGUACCUGAAAAUGUGGAACUGGCUUUGCAAGAGUUUUGGGCCCUGCAAAGUGUUCAGAGCCAACAUGAGAAUGUGAUCCAGUUAGAAGAGUGCGUCUUGCAGAGUGGCCAAGUCUUUCAGCCAAUCAGCCGCCAGUACAGGAAAUCGGACAGUCAUCUGCUGCUGAUUGAGACCUGUCUGAAAGGGCGGAGAUGCAUGGACCCCAAGUCUGCCUGUUUUGUGUGGUUUGUGAUGGAGUUCUGUGAUGGUGGAAACAUGAAUGAUUUUUUGCUGUCUCGCACUCCAGAUUCUCAGCUGAAUAAUAGCUUCAUGCAGCAGCUGAGCAGUGCUGUUGCCUUCUUGCACAGAAAUCAGAUUGUGCACAGAGACCUGAAGUCAGAUAAUAUUCUUAUUUCCCAUAGCCCUGGAGGUCCGGUAGUAAAGGUAGCGGACUUUGGCCUGAGUAAGAUAUGCCAGGGGAAAGUGAAUGUGAACCAGCAUUGCUUCUCGUCAGCCUGUGGGUCAAACUUUUACAUGGCACCAGAAGUGUGGGAAGGUCGUUAUACUGCCAAAGCUGAUAUCUUUGCCCUUGGGAUCAUUUUCUGGGCUAUGGUAGAGAGGAUUACCUUCAGGGAUGGAGACUCUGAGAAGGAAUUACUUGGAACCUACAUCUGUCAAGGCAAGCAGCUUAUUCCUGUUGGCGAGGCACUGCUGGAGAAUCCCAACAUGGAACUGCAAAUUCCUCUGAAGAACAAGAAGUCCAUGCCAGACGAUCUCUGCAGACUCCUGCAUGACAUGUUAACGUUUAACCCAAAGGAAAGACUGGAUGCUUUCCAACUAGAAAUUCGAAUCAGGAGAAUCUCCUAUGGGAAAAAGCGCCAACGUUCAUAGCAGCAAGGGGUGAUCAGGUCCUGUAUUCCACUGUUCCUGUCACACAGGAAUCCUGACCAAUACUUCUGAAUUCUCCUUGGAUUAAUGGUUUGACCUUGAGGGAGACCGGUCAGAAUAAAUCUUGAUUGCUUCCCAUUUCCCCCAAUGGUUGUAUGUAAAGGAACAAUUAUUUAUUUGUAUAGUAAUUUUAAUAUGCAAGUCCUAUAUAGCUUGCCCAAUUUUUUUAAUGGAGUAUUGCAGACUGAUCCUUCACUUGUAUAAUAGUGAAGAAGGAUGUUGGUGACUGAGGCUGCCAACCUUAUCAACUCGGUGGCCAUGCUCCGAAGUGUCAAUUCCACUGUCCUUGGUACAGCAGAUGAGGAUUGUCUUGUGCAGUGUUUAAUUAGAGCUUUCCAUGUAAUUACUUCAUUCCAUGGUACUUGGCCAUGUAACUAAAUGGUGGCUGUUUCUGAAAGAGUGGCAUGGUGUAAUCUAAUCUAAUGUUUAUCCAAAAACUUUCUAGCAGAAACAAUGUAUUUUCAUCACAGUAGUUUGUGAAUAUUCUUGCUUAGAUUAACAGAAAUACAUUCUUAAAAUAAAUACAAAGACUGUUUAAUAUGCCAAAUUGUUAUUGGAAUGUAUGCAUCACUAUUACCUUUAGUUUAGAGACUGAAGCUGUCUGCUGUGUCAGCUGUUUGUCCCAGCUACUCUGACAUGGGAAACAAAAAGGACUGAACUGGAGUAUUGGCAGCUAUUGAAACUGUGCUGUCUGGCUCUCCAAUGCCAUCUGUUCUUAGAACAGGCAAAGUCUGCUAGUCUUGUGGAACCAUCAUAGUUGAGGAAGAGUCAAACUUUGGAACGUAGACCACAAUUAAGAUUACACCUGGCAAUAAAACCACUCUGAGGCACUUUAAAUGUUUGUGUGGCACAGGGUUGGCUACUCACUGCAACUCUUGCUUGUUUUAUCAUACUUUGUUGAUGUUCUCCACAGCCUCUGUUAGAAAUACUUAUUUGUAUGUGUGCGCUUUUGUUACCUCAGACUGUGUAUUUUAAAUUUAAUAAAAGAUUUUAU
Malaclemys terrapin pileata is the source of this 2250-nucleotide RNA transcript. It is a transcript of the gene named serine/threonine-protein kinase PDIK1L-like, with no coding region annotated. The transcript has 6 exons. The record is from RefSeq and is a predicted model, not a curated record. Lineage: Eukaryota; Metazoa; Chordata; Testudines; Emydidae.